UUCAGAUUGACGGCUGGCUGCCACUGAAUUUUAAAUGGCCGCAGUAUACUAACUGUGCAAAGGUAGCAUAAUCAUUAGUCUUUUAAUUGAAGGCUGGAAUGAAUGGUUGGACGAAAUAUGAGCUGUUUCAAUUAAAUUUAAAUUAGAAUUUUAUUUUUUAGUCAAAAAGCUAAAAUUUAUUUAAAAGACGAGAAGACCCUAUAAAUCUUUAUAUUUAAUUUAUUUUAAUUUUUAAGAUUAAUUUUAUUAUAAUAAAUUUAAAUAUUUUAUUGGGGUGAUAUUAAAAUUUAAUAAACUUUUAAUUUAUAAAGUCAUUAAUUUAUGAAUAACUGAUCCAAUAAUAUUGAUUAGAAAUUUAAGUUACUUUAGGGAUAACAGCGUAAUUUUUUUGGAGAGUUCAUAUCGAUAAAAAAGAUUGCGACCUCGAUGUUGGAUUAAGAGAUAAAUUUGGGUGUAGCCGUUCAAAAGUUUAAGUCUGUUCGACUUUUAAAUUCUUACGUGAUCUGAUUU
RNAcentral lists this ribosomal RNA (510 nucleotides) under Homoneura dilecta. Its description in RNAcentral is "partial 16S ribosomal RNA". It matches the Rfam family "Bacterial large subunit ribosomal RNA", at positions 1889 to 2611 of the family's 2925-position model. Lineage: Eukaryota; Metazoa; Arthropoda; Insecta; Diptera; Lauxaniidae. The record is from RNAcentral.